This 208-nucleotide non-coding RNA is filed under the name [Bacillus] enclensis. RNAcentral's name for it is "Bacillus enclensis T-box sequence". It matches the Rfam family "T-box leader". Rfam says of the family: Uncharged tRNA acts as the effector for transcription antitermination of genes in the T-box leader family. T-boxes are found upstream of many aminoacyl-tRNA synthetase genes and some amino acid biosynthetic genes usually in Gram-positive bacteria. Lineage: Bacteria; Bacillati; Bacillota; Bacilli; Caryophanales; Bacillaceae. The record is from RNAcentral.
GGAUAUUCAAUGAUGAAGAGAGUAAUUCCCGCGUGGAUCUAAAAGCGAACCAGGGACGGUGCAAGCCUGGUGUGAAACCCGGAAUGAAGCGCACUUCUGAGAAGUCUUUCCCCAAAUUUCAGUAGGGAAAGACCGGGUAAAACCGUUAAUUUAUGAGCGCCCUUUCUGGGAAUAAGAGUGGUACCGCGAGUCAAAACUCGUCUCUACA